GAAGGGUGCAAGCGUUACUCGGAAUUACUGGGCGUAAAGCGUGCGUAGGUGGUGCGUUAAGUCUGUCGUGAAAUCCCCGGGCUCAACCUGGGAAUGGCGAUGGAUACUGGCGCGCUAGAGUGAGGUAGAGGAGAGUGGAAUUCCCGGUGUAGCAGUGAAAUGCGUAGAGAUCGGGAGGAACAUCAGUUGCGAAGGCGGCUCUCUGGACCAUCACUGACACUGAGGCACGAAAGCGUGGGGAGCAAACAGGAUUAGAUACCCUGGUAGUCCACGCCCUAAACGAUGCGAACUGGACGUUGGGCUCAAUUGAGAGCUCAGUGUCGAAGCUAACGCGUUAAGUUCGCCGCCUGGGGAGUACGGUCGCAAGACUG
This 371-nucleotide ribosomal RNA is filed under the name uncultured bacterium. Its description in RNAcentral is "bacterial SSU rRNA". It matches the Rfam family "Bacterial small subunit ribosomal RNA", at positions 527 to 896 of the family's 1533-position model. The record is from RNAcentral.